GUUUCGUUCCUCCCCUUCCACCUGUGCACUCAUUGUAGACCACACUGCUGCCUAUCAGGCAUGUGCUUCCUGCACUUCCCCUGGCAUGAGGACCUGCCCCUUGGGCUGUUCUUGGGUGGUGUUGGCCUAUGUUCUCAUCAACCCCAAUGUAUGUGAUUGAAUGUAUGAUCUGGGCUCUUUGUAGACCCAUAAACCUUAAUACAACUUUCAACAACGGAUCUCUUGGCUCUCGCAUCGAUGAAGAACGCAGCGAAAUGCGAUAAGUAAUGUGAAUUGCAGAAUUCAGUGAAUCAUCGAAUCUUUGAACGCACCUUGCGCUCCUUGGUAUUCCGAGGAGCAUGCCUGUUUGAGUGUCAUUAAAUCCUCAACCCCAUCUUCCUUGUGGAUGAAUGGAGUUGGAUGUGGUAGCUGCUGGCUCAUCGUCAGCUCUUCUCAAAUGCAUUAGUAGAGCCACCCCAUGCAAGGCUGCAGCUUGGUAUUGAUAGUUGUCUUACCAGGCAGUAGCUGAGUGAAGUGCUCAGCUUCUAGCUGUCUCACAGUGAGACAAUCA
This 550-nucleotide ribosomal RNA is filed under the name Pluteus tomentosulus. RNAcentral describes it as "eukaryotic LSU rRNA". The stretch from base 203 to 356 matches the Rfam family "5.8S ribosomal RNA". Lineage: Eukaryota; Fungi; Basidiomycota; Agaricomycetes; Agaricales; Pluteaceae. The record is from RNAcentral.